ACGGGGAGCACCACAACAGGUGGAGCCUGCGGUUUAAUCGGACUCAACGCCGGGAAACUCACCAGAUAAGACAGCUGAAUGAUAGUCGGGCUGAAGACUCUACUUGACUAGCUGAGAGGAGGUGCAUGGCCGUCGCCAGUUCGUACUGUGAAGCAUCCUGUUAAGUCAGGCAACGAGCGAGACCCACGCCAACAGUUGCCAGCUCGUCCUCCGGGAUGGUGGGGACACUGUUGGGACCGCCUCUGCUAAAGAGGAGGAAGGAAUGGGCAACGGUAGGUCAGCAUGCCCCGAAUUAUCUGGGCUACACGCGGGCUACAAUGGGUGGGACAAUGGGUAUCGACACCGAAAGGUGAAGGCAAUCUCCUAAACCCAUCCGUAGUUCGGAUUGUGGGCUGCAACUCGCCCACAUGAAGCUGGAAUCUGUAGUAAUCGUGUCUCAAAAUGGCACGGUGAAUAUGUCCCUGCUCCUU
This 470-nucleotide ribosomal RNA is filed under the name uncultured Methanomicrobiales archaeon. RNAcentral describes it as "bacterial SSU rRNA". It matches the Rfam family "Archaeal small subunit ribosomal RNA", at positions 871 to 1337 of the family's 1478-position model. The record is from RNAcentral. Lineage: Archaea; Methanobacteriati; Methanobacteriota; Methanomicrobia; Methanomicrobiales.